RNAcentral lists this ribosomal RNA (536 nucleotides) under uncultured bacterium. RNAcentral's name for it is "bacterial SSU rRNA". It matches the Rfam family "Bacterial small subunit ribosomal RNA", at positions 8 to 526 of the family's 1533-position model. The record is from RNAcentral.
AGAGUUUGAUCAUGGCUCAGAACGAACGCUGGCGGCGUGCCUAAUACAUGCAAGUCGAGCGGACUUGUAGGAGCUUGCUCCUGCAGGUUAGCGGCGGACGGGUGAGUAACACGUGGGCAACCUACCUAUAAGACUGGGAUAACUUCGGGAAACCGGAGCUAAUACCGGAUGACAUAAAGGAACUCCUGUUCCUUUAUUGAAAGAUGGCUUCGGCUAUCACUUAUAGAUGGGCCCGCGGCGCAUUAGCUAGUUGGUGAGGUAACGGCUCACCAAGGCGACGAUGCGUAGCCGACCUGAGAGGGUGAUCGGCCACACUGGGACUGAGACACGGCCCAGACUCCUACGGGAGGCAGCAGUAGGGAAUCUUCCGCAAUGGACGAAAGUCUGACGGAGCAACGCCGCGUGAACGAUGAAGGCCUUCGGGUCGUAAAGUUCUGUUGUUAGGGAAGAACAAGUGCUAGUUAAAUAAGCUGGCACCUUGACGGUACCUAACCAGAAAGCCACGGCUAACUACGUGCCAGCAGCGGCGGUAAUAC